CUUGUAGGGGUUGACAGUGACACAGAAGAGGCCCGAGUAGGUGUAGAUCAUCCAGGCUGCAUAACGCUCUUUGAGGUUGUACAGCACAGCGGGUUCGUGGAGGUGGGUCAUCAUGGCCAUGUCCUCAAUUUUAUCGUACUUGGGAGGGUUCAUGGAGAAGAUUUGAUCUUCCUUCACGGUUAGAGUUUCACCACCUUCAGUCUUGACAGUGACCUUCCCCGAUUCUUUACUCUGGAUUGUACUUUUCACAUAGGAUUCUUUAGCAUGUACCACAAAGACUGAUGACUUGGCAUCAAAAGGCUUGUUCUGGGCCUCAAUCCUCUCCUUUUCUGACCUUCCCCGAUUCUUUACUCUGGAUUGUACUUUUCACAUAGGAUUCUUUAGCAUGUACCACAAAGACUGAUGUCUUGGCAUCAAAAGGCUUGUUCUGGGC
This 433-nucleotide long non-coding RNA is filed under the name Gallus gallus (chicken). The record is from RNAcentral. Lineage: Eukaryota; Metazoa; Chordata; Aves; Galliformes; Phasianidae.